This 253-nucleotide ribosomal RNA is filed under the name uncultured bacterium. RNAcentral describes it as "partial 16S ribosomal RNA". It matches the Rfam family "Bacterial small subunit ribosomal RNA", at positions 524 to 776 of the family's 1533-position model. The record is from RNAcentral.
UACAGAGGAGCCAAGCGUUGUCCGGAUUGACUGGGCGUAAAGCGCACGCAGGCGGUCUGGCGCGUGGGGUGUGAAAUCUGGCCGCUUAACGGCCAGGCGCCAUCCCAUACGGCCGGACUGGAGCCUUGCAGAGGUCGGUGGAAUUGCCGGUGUAGUGGUGAAAUGCGUAGAGAUCGGCAGGAACACCCAGGGGGAAACCAGCGGACUGGGCAUCAGCUGACGCUCAGGUGCGACAGCGUGGGGAGCGAACCGG